This is a small nucleolar RNA of Hyaena hyaena (striped hyena), 264 nucleotides long. Lineage: Eukaryota; Metazoa; Chordata; Mammalia; Carnivora; Hyaenidae. The record is from RefSeq and is a predicted model, not a curated record.
CCGGCUGAUGAGACCAAGGCGAAUGCGACUCGGCGCCGUCCCAUCCUUGGCUCCCUGGGGGUGGAGGUUUGGAAUGAGAUCUGACUUCUUAGUGGGGUGCCUGAGGCCUGGCUCCUCGCUGUAAGGUAGAUUCAUAGCAGUGCUGGCCUUGCCUGCGUUUCUGCUGCUGCCUCCGGCUCCUGGCAGCUGCCUGCGGGGGCCCCACAGACAGGGACCGAAGUGGGACUAGGCACGAGCUUUCUGAGCGCAUCCUUGGAUCUGACA